This 450-nucleotide ribosomal RNA is filed under the name Micronychus sp. UPOL MT0027. RNAcentral's name for it is "partial 16S ribosomal RNA". The stretch from base 223 to 381 matches the Rfam family "Bacterial large subunit ribosomal RNA", at positions 2473 to 2632 of the family's 2925-position model. Lineage: Eukaryota; Metazoa; Arthropoda; Insecta; Coleoptera; Lycidae. The record is from RNAcentral.
UUAUUGAAGUUUAUUUUUGAGUUAAAAAGCUCAAAUUUGAAUAAAAGACGAGAAGACCCUAUAGAGUUUAAUAUUUAAUUAUUCAUUAAAUUUUGGGAAGAUUUUUGUGUAUUAAAUAUUUAGUUGGGGUGACUUAGAGAUUAAAAUAAUUCUUUAAAUUUUUAAUUGUUGAUAAGUAAUUUUUAAAUCUAGUUUUUUAAAUUUAAAAUUAAUUACCUUAGGGAUAACAGCGUAAUUUUUCUUUAGAGUUCUAAUCGAAAGAAGAUUUUGCGACCUCGAUGUUGGAUUAAAAUUAAUUUUUGGUGCAGUAACUAAAAAAUUAGGUCUGUUCGACCUUUAAAAUUUUACAUGAUCUGAGUUUAAACCGGUGUGAGCCAGGUUGGAUUCUAUCUUUAGUUUUGUAAUAUAUUUUAGUACGAAAGGACCAAAUAUAUAUUAUAUAAAUAAUUG